GACGAACGCUGGCGGCGUGCUUAACACAUGCUUUUCGAACGGAAAGGCCCUGCUUUUGUGGGGUGCUCGAGUGGCGAACGGGUGAGUAACACGUGAGUAACCUGCCCUUGACUUUGGGAUAACUUCAGGAAACUGGGGCUAAUACCGGAUAGGAGCUCCUGCCGCAUGGUGGGGGUUGGAAAGUUUCGGCGGUUGGGGAUGGACUCGCGGCUUAUCAGCUUGUUGGUGGGGUAGUGGCUUACCAAGGCUUUGACGGGUAGCCGGCCUGAGAGGGUGACCGGCCACAUUGGGACUGAGAUACGGCCCAGACUCCUACGGGAGGCAGCAGUGGGGAAUAUUGCACAAUGGGCGGAAGCCUGAUGCAGCAACGCCGCGUGCGGGAUGACGGCCUUCGGGUUGUAAACCGCUUUCGCCUGUGACGAAGCGUGAGUGACGGUAAUGGGUAAAGAAGCACCGGCUAACUACGUGCCGGCAGCCGCGGUGAUACGUAGGGUGCGAGCGUUGUCCGGAUUUAUUGGGCGUAAAGGGCUCGUAGGUGGUUGAUCGCGUCGGAAGUGUAAUCUUGGGGCUUAACCCUGAGCGUGCUUUCGAUACGGGUUGACUUGAGGAAGGUAGGGGAGAAUGGAAUUCCUGGUGGAGCGGUGGAAUGCGCAGAUAUCAGGAGGAACACCAGUGGCGAAGGCGGUUCUCUGGGCCUUUCCUGACGCUGAGGAGCGAAAGCGUGGGGAGCGAACAGGCUUAGAUACCCUGGUAGUCCACGCUGUAAACGGUGGGUACUAGGUGUGGGGUCCAUUCCACGGGUUCCGUGCCGUAGCUAACGCUUUAAGUACCCCGCCUGGGGAGUACGGCCGCAAGGCUAAAACUCAAAGGAAUUGACGGGGCCCCGCACAAGCGGCGGAGCAUGCGGAUUAAUUCGAUGCAACGCGUAGAACCUUACCUGGGUUUGACAUGGAUCGGGAGUGCUCAGAGAUGGGUGUGCCUCUUUUGGGGUCGGUUCACAGGUGGUGCAUGCCUGUCGUCAGCUCGUGUCGUGAGAUGUUGGGUUAAGUCCCGCAACGAGCGCAACCCUUGUUCACUGUUGCCAGCACGUUAUGGUGGGGACUCAGUGGAGACCGCCGGGGUCAACUCGGAGGAAGGUGGGGAUGACGUCAAGUCCUCAUGCCCCUUAUGUCCAGGGCUUCACGCAUGCUACAAUGGCUGGUACAGAGAGUGGCGAGCCUGUGAGGGUGAGCGAAUCUCGGAAAGCCGGUCUCAGUUCGGAUUGGGGUCUGCAACUCGACCUCAUGAAGUCGGAGCCGCUAGUAAUCGCAGAUCAGCAACGCUGCGGUGAAUAAAUUCCCGGG
Molecule: ribosomal RNA, 1343 nt
Filed under: uncultured bacterium
Lineage: Bacteria
Description: 16S ribosomal RNA
Rfam family: Bacterial small subunit ribosomal RNA
Source: RNAcentral